AUCAAUCUCCUAGUAUAGAUUUUUCUAGCCUAACAUGAUGGGAAGAAGAAAAGAAGAACAUAACAAUGAAAAUCAACAAAAGACAUCACCCUAUUGAAAUUCUUGAAGUGAAAUCUUAAAUCUUGGAUUGAAUCUUCUUGUUCCUCCUUCUUGCUCUUCAAAUCCUUCCAAAAUAAUGUAUGAUGUGUGGUGUAUGUUUUUGAACGUCCCUAGGGCUUCAAAAGACUCCCAAGAUUUAUUUCCAUAAGAGUUUUAAUCGGAAAAGGAAACCAGAAAAUUUUCACCACGAUUGGCCUAGGCUGUCGCUCAGGCAAAACCCGAGCUGUCACCCAGGCAACAUUUUCUUCUCGAUAAUUAAAAAAAACAUAUGGGGCGAUUGCCCGGUUUUUAUAACUGGGCUGUCGCCCAGGCAAAAUUUCUUCCAUAUGUUGCAUUUUAGCCCUUGAAGUCGAUUUUUGAUUCUU
Molecule: long non-coding RNA, 464 nt
Filed under: Olea europaea (common olive)
Lineage: Eukaryota; Viridiplantae; Streptophyta; Magnoliopsida; Lamiales; Oleaceae
Description: long non-coding RNA (OEUR_LNC009588)
Source: RNAcentral